AUGUCAGCAUUAACUGCAGACGUGUCACUCCCUCAAUCUCAGCCAGCUGUUCUUCCUGUUCCGGCUUUGCCACAAAAUGCGCGACCAUUUAGGUGGAGUGAAAGCUCCAGCUCCAGCUCAAGAGCUGGUAGCUCAUCCGGUCCUGUAGAUUUGGCUGAGGGUGAGGAGGUAGGCUCAAGAAGUAGCAUUAGACCACAUUUAUGGGAACAUCCUAUGUUUGUACCUGCCACAGAGUUGAGAACUUCUGCUAGGAAUCCAAC
Molecule: long non-coding RNA, 260 nt
Filed under: Linum usitatissimum (flax)
Lineage: Eukaryota; Viridiplantae; Streptophyta; Magnoliopsida; Malpighiales; Linaceae
Description: long non-coding RNA (LUSI_LNC000644)
Source: RNAcentral